RNAcentral lists this transfer RNA (73 nucleotides) under Ovis aries (sheep). It matches the Rfam family "tRNA". Rfam says of the family: Transfer RNA (tRNA) molecules are approximately 80 nucleotides in length. Their secondary structure includes four short double-helical elements and three loops (D, anti-codon, and T loops). The record is from Rfam by way of RNAcentral. Lineage: Eukaryota; Metazoa; Chordata; Mammalia; Artiodactyla; Bovidae.
UUCUCGGUGGUCUAGUGGUUAAGACUCUGUGCUCCUAACACAGGGGGCCCAGGUUUGAUCCCUGGUGGGGGGG